AUUCUCCUUGAUAACAGCGACGAUGUUGUUUUAUGGUCUGCGAAAUUAUCGCCAGCACCAGGGAGGAUAACGUUGCGUGAGCAACGGCCCGUAGGGCGAGGCGCAGCCGAGUAAUCCUCCCGGAUGCACCA
RNAcentral lists this small RNA (131 nucleotides) under Klebsiella pneumoniae. RNAcentral describes it as "RtT RNA". Lineage: Bacteria; Pseudomonadati; Pseudomonadota; Gammaproteobacteria; Enterobacterales; Enterobacteriaceae. The record is from RNAcentral.